Molecule: ribosomal RNA, 481 nt
Filed under: uncultured bacterium
Lineage: Bacteria
Description: partial 16S ribosomal RNA
Rfam family: Bacterial small subunit ribosomal RNA
Source: RNAcentral
GACGAACGCUGGCGGCGUGCCUAACACAUGCAAGUCGAACGGAACUGUUUUGAAAGAUUUCUUCGGAAUGAAUUUGAUUUAGUUUAGUGGCGGACGGGUGAGUAACGCGUGAGUAACCUGCCUUCAAGAGGGGAAUAACAUUCUGAAAAGAAUGCUAAUACCGCAUGACAUAUCGGAACCACAUGGUUUUGAUAUCAAAGAUUUUAUCGCUUGAAGAUGGACUCGCGUCCGAUUAGUUAGUUGGUGAGGUAACGGCUCACCAAGACCGCGAUCGGUAGCCGGACUGAGAGGUUGAACGGCCACAUUGGGACUGAGACACGGCCCAGACUCCUACGGGAGGCAGCAGUGGGGGAUAUUGCGCAAUGGGGGCAACCCUGACGCAGCAACGCCGCGUGAAGGAUGAAGGUUUUCGGAUUGUAAACUUCUUUUAUGAAGGACGAAAAAUGACGGUACUUAAUGAAUAAGCUCCGGCUAACUACGU